ACGGGAGGCAGCAGUGAGGAAUAUUGGACAAUGGGGGCAACCCUGAUCCAGCCAAACCGCGUGAGGGAUGAAGGUCCUACGGAUCGUAAACCUCUUUUAUGUGGGAAUAAUUGCCGGUAUGUAUACUGGUUUGAAGGUACCACUUGAAUAAGCAUCGGCUAACUCCGUGCCAGCAGCCGCGGUAAUACGGAGGAUGCGAGCGUUAUCCGGAUUUAUUGGGUUUAAAGGGUGCGCAGGCGGCACGUUAAGUCAGCGGUGAAAUGCAGGGGCUCAACCCCGGCACUGCCGUUGAAACUGGCGAGCUCGAGUACGGAUGAAGUCGGCGGAAUGUGAUGUGUAGCGGUGAAAUGCUUAGAUAUGUCACAGAACACCGAUUGCGAAGGCAGCUGACUAAUCCGCAACUGACGCUCAGGCACGAAAGCGUGGGGAUCGAACAGGAUUAGAUACCCUGGUA
Molecule: ribosomal RNA, 454 nt
Filed under: uncultured Parabacteroides sp.
Lineage: Bacteria; Pseudomonadati; Bacteroidota; Bacteroidia; Bacteroidales; Tannerellaceae
Description: partial 16S ribosomal RNA
Rfam family: Bacterial small subunit ribosomal RNA
Source: RNAcentral